This is a non-coding RNA of Pelobates cultripes (western spadefoot toad), 230 nucleotides long. Lineage: Eukaryota; Metazoa; Chordata; Amphibia; Anura; Pelobatidae. The record is from the annotation of a GenBank genome assembly.
GAGAAUUCAGACAUUAACCCUUUCUGUGUUCCUCUGUGCUUCCUUCUGCUCCAUGGCAGUGUGAAAUAGUAAGCUAUUAUAAACAAAGGGUAAACUAACCCAUUCUGUAAUGAAUCCCCUGCAAGUAUUCUGUGCCAGUGUGGCUGCAAUGCAUUGACUGCUAUGAACUUACUCUGUGCCAGGGCAGUGUGUAAUUCAUUGCCCUCCUUGUAUUAACCCAUCAUAUGCCA